RNAcentral lists this long non-coding RNA (514 nucleotides) under Olea europaea subsp. europaea. Lineage: Eukaryota; Viridiplantae; Streptophyta; Magnoliopsida; Lamiales; Oleaceae. The record is from RNAcentral.
CGCCGGUGGUAGAUGCCAGUUAAACGUCGGACCCACCACCAAGGCAACUUUGACUUGCUUGACUGAAAAAUAUUUUUAACAGAAUUUUGACAGAAUUUCCUCUAAAAUAUGAACUAAAACUACCUGAACAAUAACCAAUUUUCCUCAAAUCAAUACCUAUAAUAUAAAUCAGGAUAUGCCAGACCCUCAAAAAUACAAACUAUUCAAAUAUAAUGCUAGGAAAUCAAUAUUUACUUGAUUUACAACCAAUAAUCUUCAAAAGUACUAAAGAUACCAAAUAUCUAAUGAGCCCAUAAUGAACUUUUCUGAUUUAACAUAUGUGUAUCCCAAAAGAACACAAUGUAUAAUCCAAUAAAAGAUGUCAUACAACCUAUGACGCGUGGCUCAAUUCGGUGGUUCGACAUGCUCCAAAGCUGCUCAAUUUGUCUGUUUUCUGUCUGAUAAAGAAAAAGGUGAAAAAAUAUAUGAGCUUAAAGCUCAGUGAGUGGAUAAUUUACAUAUAAACAUAUUUUUC